UAGUAGUGGGGGAUAGCACGGGGAAACUCGUAUUAAUACCGCAUACGACCUACGGGAGAAAGGGGGCAGUUUACUGCUCUCGCUAUUAGAUGAGCCUAAGUCGGAUUAGCUAGAUGGUGGGGUAAAGGCCUACCAUGGCGACGAUCUGUAGCUGGUCUGAGAGGAUGAUCAGCCACACCGGGACUGAGACACGGCCCGGACUCCUACGGGAGGCAGCAGUGGGGAAUAUUGGACAAUGGGGGAAACCCUGAUCCAGCCAUGCCGCGUGUGUGAAGAAGGCCUUUUGGUUGUAAAGCACUUUAAGCAGUGAAGAAGACUCCAUGGUUAAUACCCAUGGACGAUGACAUUAGCUGCAGAAUAAGCACCGGCUAACUCUGUGCCAGCAGCCGCGGUAAUACAGAGGGUGCAAGCGUUAAUCGGAAUUACUGGGCGUAAAGGGAGCGUAGGUGGCUCUAUAAGUCAGAUGUGAAAUCCCCGGGCUUAACCUGGGAACUGCAUCUGAAACUGUAGAGCUAGAGUAUGUGAGAGGAAGGUAGAAUUC
RNAcentral lists this ribosomal RNA (541 nucleotides) under Psychrobacter sp. Its description in RNAcentral is "bacterial SSU rRNA". It matches the Rfam family "Bacterial small subunit ribosomal RNA", at positions 131 to 669 of the family's 1533-position model. The record is from RNAcentral. Lineage: Bacteria; Pseudomonadati; Pseudomonadota; Gammaproteobacteria; Moraxellales; Moraxellaceae.